Molecule: ribosomal RNA, 502 nt
Filed under: uncultured bacterium
Lineage: Bacteria
Description: bacterial SSU rRNA
Rfam family: Bacterial small subunit ribosomal RNA
Source: RNAcentral
UAGUCCACGCCGUAAACGAUGGACACUAGUUGUUGGGAUUUAUCUCAGUGACUAAGCGAAAGUGAUAAGUGUCCCACCUGGGGAGUACGAUCGCAAGAUUGAAACUCAAAGGAAUUGGCGGGGGCCCGCACAAGCGGUGGAGCAUGUGGUUUAAUUCGAUGAUACGCGAGGAACCUUACCAGGGCUUAAAUGUAAGUUGCAUGAUUUAGAGAUAGAUCUUUCUUCGGACUACUUACAAGGUGCUGCAUGGUUGUCGUCAGCUCGUGCCGUGAGGUGUCAGGUUAAGUCCUAUAACGAGCGCAACCCCUGUUGUUAGUUGCCAGCAUGUAAAGAUGGGAACUCUAACAAGACUGCCAGUGCAAACUGUGAGGAAGGUGGGGAUGACGUCAAAUCAUCACGGCCCUUACGUCCUGGGCUACACACGUGCUACAAUGGCCGGUACAGAGAGCAGCCACACCGCGAGGUGGAGCGAAUCUAUAAAACCGGUCUCAGUUCGGAUCGG